UACGUAGGUGGCGAGCGUUGUCCGGAUUUACUGGGCGGAAAGGAUGCGUAGGCGGCUAUUUAAGUGAGCUGUGAAAUACCCGAGCUUAACUUGGGUGCUGCAUUUCAAACUGGAUAUCUAGAGUGUGGGAGAGGAGAAUGGAAUUCCUAGUGUAGCGGUGAAAUGCGUAGAGAUUAGGAAGAACACCAGUGGCGAAGGCGAUUCUCUGGACCAUAACUGACGCUGAGGCAUGAAAGCGUGGGUAGCAAACAGG
This 253-nucleotide ribosomal RNA is filed under the name uncultured bacterium. RNAcentral describes it as "partial 16S ribosomal RNA". It matches the Rfam family "Bacterial small subunit ribosomal RNA", at positions 524 to 776 of the family's 1533-position model. The record is from RNAcentral.